AACGCACCUUGCGCCCCUUGGUACUCCGAGGGGCACGCCUGUUUGAGUGUCGUGAAUUCCUCCACCCUUUCACUUUGUUGUGGUUGGGAUGGGAUUUGGGGGUUUCUUGCGGGGAUCAUUUUGAGCCCGCUCCCCUUGAAUGCAUUAGCAAAAAGACCCUUGUGGCCUCGGUGUGAUAAUUAUCUACGCCGUUCGGACAUGAAUUGACUUUUGCUUCCAAUCGUCUUCGGACAAACACAUCUGAAACUUGACCUCAAAUCAGGCGGGACUACCCGCUGAACUUAA
Molecule: unclassified non-coding RNA, 285 nt
Filed under: uncultured fungus
Lineage: Eukaryota; Fungi
Description: sequence contains ITS2
Rfam family: 5.8S ribosomal RNA (bases 1-52)
Source: RNAcentral